GAUGAACGCUGGCGGCGUGCCUAAUACAUGCAAGUCGAGCGAACGGACGAGAAGCUUGCUUCUCUGAUGUUAGCGGCGGACGGGUGAGUAACACGUGGAUAACCUACCUAUAAGACUGGGAUAACUUCGGGAAACCGGAGCUAAUACCGGAUAAUAUUUUGAACCGCAUGGUUCAAAAGUGAAAGACGGUCUUGCUGUCACUUAUAGAUGGAUCCGCGCUGCAUUAGCUAGUUGGUAAGGUAACGGCUUACCAAGGCAACGAUGCAUAGCCGACCUGAGAGGGUGAUCGGCCACCCUGGAACUGAGACGCGGUCCAGACUCCUACGGGAGGCCGCAGUAGGGAAUCUUCCGCAAUGGGCGAAAGCCUGACGGAGCAACGCCGCGUGAGUGAUGAAGGUCUUCGGAUCGUAAAACUCUGUUAUUAGGGAAGAACAUAUGUGUAAGUAACUGUGCACAUCUUGACGGUACCUAAUCAGAAAGCCACGGCUAACUACGUG
RNAcentral lists this ribosomal RNA (497 nucleotides) under uncultured bacterium. Its description in RNAcentral is "partial 16S ribosomal RNA". It matches the Rfam family "Bacterial small subunit ribosomal RNA", at positions 28 to 507 of the family's 1533-position model. The record is from RNAcentral.